GCCCACAUUGCUCAGUCGGUAGAGCAUGAGAUUCUUAAUCACAGGGUCGUGGGUUUGAGCCCCACAAUGGGCA
This 73-nucleotide transfer RNA is filed under the name Podarcis lilfordi (Lilford's wall lizard). It matches the Rfam family "tRNA". Rfam says of the family: Transfer RNA (tRNA) molecules are approximately 80 nucleotides in length. Their secondary structure includes four short double-helical elements and three loops (D, anti-codon, and T loops). Further hydrogen bonds mediate the characteristic L-shaped molecular structure. tRNAs have two regions of fundamental functional importance: the anti-codon, which is responsible for specific mRNA codon recognition, and the 3' end, to which the tRNAs corresponding amino acid is attached (by aminoacyl-tRNA synthetases). tRNAs cope with the degeneracy of the genetic code in two manners: having more than one tRNA (with a specific anti-codon) for a particular amino acid; and 'wobble' base-pairing, i.e. permitting non-standard base-pairing at the 3rd anti-codon position. The record is from Rfam by way of RNAcentral. Lineage: Eukaryota; Metazoa; Chordata; Lepidosauria; Squamata; Lacertidae.